RNAcentral lists this ribosomal RNA (253 nucleotides) under uncultured bacterium. RNAcentral describes it as "partial 16S ribosomal RNA". It matches the Rfam family "Bacterial small subunit ribosomal RNA", at positions 524 to 776 of the family's 1533-position model. The record is from RNAcentral.
GACGAAGGUGGCGAGCGUUACUCGGAUUUACUAGGCGUAAAGCGUGAGCAGGCGGUUCGGUCAGUCUGUUGUGAAAGCUCCCGGCUCAACUGGGAGAGGCCAAUGGAUACUACCGAGCUUGAAUACGGGAGAGGUGACUGGAAUUCCUGGUGUAGCGGUGAAAUGCGUAGAUAUCAGGAGGAACACCUAUGGCGAAAGCAGGUCACUGGACCGUUAUUGACGCUCAUUCACGAAAGCUGGGGGAUCAAACAGG